CCCAGGCAUGGUGGUGCACACCUGUAGUCCCAGCUGCUUGGGAGGAAUAACUUUUGAGCCCAGGAGUGGUGGGCUAUAGUGCACUAUGCUGACUGGAUGUCCACACUGUAUCAGCAUCAAUAUGGUGACUUCCUGGAACUGUGGGACCACAGGUUGCCUAAGAUAGAGUGAAAUGCUCCAGGUUGAAAAUGGAGCAGGUCAUAACUCUCACUCAGAUCAAUAGUGGGGUAGCAUCUAUGAAUAGGCAUUGCAUUCCAGCCUGCGCAACUCUAAAAGCAAAAAAAUG
Unclassified non-coding RNA from Otolemur garnettii (small-eared galago), 286 nucleotides. It matches the Rfam family "Metazoan signal recognition particle RNA". From Rfam's summary of the family: The signal recognition particle (SRP) is a universally conserved ribonucleoprotein. NCBI's taxonomy places the organism in Eukaryota, Metazoa, Chordata, Mammalia, Primates, Galagidae. The record is from Ensembl.